ACACGAGAAGGGAGGUGGUUCGGCAGAUGUAUGACAACCGGACGCGUGAGGUGACUGCGGCCUAACGGUCGCCGUUUCCACGACACGUGGCGCGCCGGCUCCGCCGGCCAAUCCCAAGCAGUCACCCGAUCCGCGGGCCGCCGGUAUCGUCCGGCCGGCUCCCCGGCGGGCGCGCACCGCGCCCACCGGGGGCUCAGGCCCGCGGAUCGUUUUUU
The sequence is a small RNA, 215 nucleotides long. It matches the Rfam family "Actinobacteria sRNA Ms_IGR-5".